This 253-nucleotide ribosomal RNA is filed under the name uncultured bacterium. RNAcentral's name for it is "partial 16S ribosomal RNA". It matches the Rfam family "Bacterial small subunit ribosomal RNA", at positions 524 to 776 of the family's 1533-position model. The record is from RNAcentral.
UACGUAGGGUGCAAGCGUUGUCCGGAAUUAUUGGGCGUAAAGAGCUCGUAGGCGGUCUGUCGCGUCUGCUGUGAAAACCUGGGGCUUAACCCCGGGCCUGCAGUGGGUACGGGCAGACUAGAGUGUGGUAGGGGAGACUGGAAUUCCUGGUGUAGCGGUGAAAUGCGCAGAUAUCAGGAGGAACACCGGUGGCGAAGGCGGGUCCCUGGGCCGUAACUGACGCUGAGGAGCGAAAGCGUGGGGAGCGAACAGG